AGCAGCCGCGGUAAUUCCAGCUCCAAUAGCGUAUAUUAAAGUUGUUGCAGUUAAAAAGCUCGUAGUUGAAUUUCGAGAUCGGUUUAUUGGUCGUGCUAUUGUACGUACUGGUAUUACCGGUUUCUCCUUUCUGACGAACCUUAAUGCCAUUAAUUUGGUGUUUUGGGAAAUCAGGACUGUUACUUUGAAAAAAUUAGAGUGUUUAAAGCAGGCUCACGCUUGAAUACAUUAGCAUGGAAUAACGGAAUAGGACGUUUGAUUCUAUUUUGUUGGUUUCUAGGAUCGACGUAAUGAUUAAUAGGGAUAGUUGGGGGCAUUAGUAUUCAAUUGUCAGAGGUGAAAUUCUUGGAUUUAUUGAAGACUAACUACUGCGAAAGCAUUUGCCAAGGAUGUUUUCAUUAAUCAAGAACGAAAGUUAGGGGAUCGAAGACGAUCAGAUACCGUCGUAGUCUUAACCAUAAACUAUGCCGACUAGGGAUCGGAUGAUGUUAAUUUUUUAAUGUACUCGUUCGGCGCCUUA
Molecule: ribosomal RNA, 520 nt
Filed under: uncultured Glomus
Lineage: Eukaryota; Fungi; Glomeromycota; Glomeromycetes; Glomerales; Glomeraceae
Description: SSU rRNA
Rfam family: Eukaryotic small subunit ribosomal RNA
Source: RNAcentral